AUGUGUAUACAAUUAGGUAUAAAAUUUGGCAUAAAAUUAGGUGAAAAAUUAGGUCGUGUCAUUUUAACAUCUGAAUUUGUAUUAGAUACAUUAUUUUGGGAUAUUGGCCUAAAUAAUCGAAAGUAGACGUCAUUGGUUAUUGGCGGUCCCACCUUUUUUAUUCUCCUGUCCCACAUUUCAACUAUUUUUCCUCCACCUGUCCUCUACAAACUGAUGUUUUAGGGCUUUUGAUCAGAACUAGGAUUUGAGUCUAUUGAUGUAAAACUUAUCUCUAAACGGUUCUCAAAACCACUAGAUUUUUGUUAAUUGGAAGUUUAAACACCUGAAUUGUAACACCGUUUUCAUCAUUUGGGGCACCAUUUCAAGGUAAGUUUUACAUCGGUAGACUCGUAUCCUCGUUCUGAUCAAAAGCCUUAAAACGUCAGUUUGUAAUUCGGAGAAAAGGAUCUGCCGGGGCCCAUUUUUUAUUUAUAGGUAUUAGAGCUCGAAAAUAUUUUAGUUGUUUGACCCUUCAAAAUUAAUUUUGGCUAAGUAGUAAAUCUGAGAAAAGAAAAAUGAAAAAGAAAGAUAUCGGAACUUUUACAGGUAUACGAACGUGAGAAUUGCAGGUUUUGUGAAGAGGAAGAAGAAGUAA
RNAcentral lists this long non-coding RNA (634 nucleotides) under Helianthus annuus (common sunflower). Lineage: Eukaryota; Viridiplantae; Streptophyta; Magnoliopsida; Asterales; Asteraceae. The record is from RNAcentral.